RNAcentral lists this ribosomal RNA (381 nucleotides) under uncultured bacterium. RNAcentral describes it as "bacterial SSU rRNA". It matches the Rfam family "Bacterial small subunit ribosomal RNA", at positions 524 to 904 of the family's 1533-position model. The record is from RNAcentral.
UACGAAGGGGGCUAGCGUUGCUCGGAAUGACUGGGCGUAAAGGGCGCGUAGGCGGCAUACACAGUCAGAUGUGAAAUUCCUGGGCUCAACCUGGGGACUGCAUUUGAUACGUGUAAGCUAGAGUGGAGAAGAGGGUCGUGGAAUUUCCAGUGUAGAGGUGAAAUUCGUAGAUAUUGGAAAGAACACCGGUGGCGAAGGCGGCGACCUGGUCUUUAACUGACGCUGAGGCGCGAAAGCGUGGGGAGCAAACAGGGAUUAGAUACCCUGGUAGUCCACGCUGUAAACGAUGUGUGCUGGAUGUUGGGAAACUUAGUUUUCAGUGCCGUAGCUAACGCGAUAAGCACACCGCCUGGGGAGUACGGCCGCAAGGUUGAAACUCAA